GCAGGGGUUGCCAAGUCUGGUCAAAGGCGCAGGAUUCAUUAUCCUGUCCGUUAGUCGGUCCGUGAGUUCGAAUCUCACCCCCUGC
This 85-nucleotide transfer RNA is filed under the name Candidatus Aenigmarchaeota archaeon CG1_02_38_14. RNAcentral's name for it is "tRNA-Met". It matches the Rfam family "tRNA". From Rfam's summary of the family: Transfer RNA (tRNA) molecules are approximately 80 nucleotides in length. Their secondary structure includes four short double-helical elements and three loops (D, anti-codon, and T loops). The record is from RNAcentral. Lineage: Archaea; Nanobdellati; Candidatus Aenigmatarchaeota.